GGUUCCCAUAUGAUUACUGAAGUUAAGCAAUGCUGAGCCUGGUCACUACCUAGAUGGGUGAACAUUUGGGAAUACGAGGUGCUGUAAG
Acanthosepion pharaonis is the source of this 88-nucleotide non-coding RNA. NCBI's taxonomy places the organism in Eukaryota, Metazoa, Mollusca, Cephalopoda, Sepiida, Sepiidae. The record is from the annotation of a GenBank genome assembly.